Molecule: ribosomal RNA, 732 nt
Filed under: uncultured bacterium
Lineage: Bacteria
Description: bacterial SSU rRNA
Rfam family: Bacterial small subunit ribosomal RNA
Source: RNAcentral
UGCGGAACACGUACGCAACUUACCCCUUAACUAAAGUAGCCCAUAGAAAUGUGGAUUAACCCUUUAUAGUACGACUGGUUGGCAUCAACUGGUUUAAAACUCCGGUGGUUAGGGAUGGGCGUGCGUCUGAUUAGGUAGUUGGUAGGGUAACGCUACCAAGCCAACGAUCAGUAGCUGAUGUGAGAGCAUGAUCAGCCACACGGGCACUGACACGGGCCCGACUCCUACGGGAGGCAGCAGUAAGGAAUAUUGGUCAAUGGACGCAAGUGAACCAGCCAUGCCGCGUGAAGGAUGAAGGUCCUCUGGAUUGUAAACUUCUUUUAUCUGACGAAACACUGGUUUUCUAACCAGCUUGACGGUACCAGAGGAAUAAGCACCGGCUAACCGUGCCAGCAGCCGCGGUAAUACGGAGGGUGCAAGCGUUAUCCGGAUUCACUGGGUUAAGGGUGCGUAGGUGGGUAUGUAAGUCCGUGGUGAAAUCCUGCAGCUUAACUGCAGAAGCCGUGGAUACUAUAUAUCUUGAAUAUCGUGGAGGUUAGUGGAAUAGGUCAUGUAGCGGAAAUGCUUAGAGAUGACAUGGAACACCGAUUGCGAAGGCAGCUGGCUACACGAUAAUACACUGAGGCACGAAAGCGUGGGUAGCAAACAGGAUUAGAUACCCUGGUAGUCCACGCUAAACGAUGGAUACUCGACAUCAGCGAUAUUACUGUUGGUGUCUGAGCGAAAGCAUUA